This 113-nucleotide small RNA is filed under the name Marmota monax (woodchuck). The record is from RNAcentral. Lineage: Eukaryota; Metazoa; Chordata; Mammalia; Rodentia; Sciuridae.
GAUGGGAUGAUGCAUGCUUGUAGUUCUGGCUACAAAGGAGGCUGAGGCAGGAGGAUACCUUGAGCCCAGGAGUUUGAGGCCGACCUGGGCCACACAGAAAGAUCCUGUCUUAA